This 1061-nucleotide long non-coding RNA is filed under the name Gallus gallus (chicken). Its description in RNAcentral is "long non-coding RNA NONGGAT007780". The record is from RNAcentral. Lineage: Eukaryota; Metazoa; Chordata; Aves; Galliformes; Phasianidae.
CAGAAGAACAACAGAUUGAAUCCUACUGAUAUGCAUAACGUGUCUCUUUCUCUUACCAGAAGACGGUAUGUUCUGCCUCCAUUUGAGGCAUGGUGUGACUGGCAGCUGACAUCCUCACCCUGCUCAUGUGCAGCCCGGCCUCUAUUGCCAUGUUUCUUUCAGUCUUUGCCCUGAGAAGCUUAGUGUUGGAUCUGAGGUGGCAGAUAGAGAAACAAGAUCUUUUCAACUUGUGAGACAUCUUUGUCUGAGAUAGUUCCAACUUAGGGUACAUUCAUUGCAGACUCUGGAAGAAUCCUCGGUGCUGAUCCCAACAUGAGAUCUGCUUUGUAAACUUCAAGUACAGUUCAGCAAAGCACCUUUCACUAGAUCUUAAAGAACCAUCCAAGCAUACUGGCUUAAUGUAUGGUGGCCUGAGUUGAAGUUCAACAUUAAAAUAUUGAUACGCUAAUGUUUGCUUUCUGUGAGCUUAUUUAUCAAGUUCUUUCCUGGAGACCAGGUCCUAAACAAACACAGGAUGGCUCCCUUCUUGACAGGAGGGUGAUUACAGACAGCAUCAAACUAAGUUUCCCUCACUGUGUCCCUUCCAUGAAACACUUUGGCCAAACAGCAGAAGCAGGAUCGCAGUUAUCUCACUCACGAACUCCUUUUCCUCUCAUCUUAGUUUUUAUGGCUUAAGGGAGAUUUUCUGGUUUUUGGGGUUUUUUUUUUUCAGGAACAGUGUUAGCUUUUCUUUGAUACUAUCUCUUGAUCUUGGGGAUACCGGAAUGAUAUGGGGAUCUUGGUUUUAUCAGUUGGAAAAGCUGGCCUUGCUUAGGUUCCUAGGGCUGGCUGGCUGUCUAUUACAAAUGAUCACUAGCUAAACCUCAGGGCUUCUCAGCUGAUGCAGUCUCAGCUCUUUUCUGUGUGUCAGUCCUCAUGGCCAACUAAUAGCAUCUCUACUCCAGCUACCCUGCUGUGCUACUGCACUGCUGCUGCUUUCACUGCUCCUUUUAGGGGGUGCCAUAGAGAAUGCAUCCAAGCGUUACACUUCUCUUUUGACUCUCAGCAGCAUCAAUAUUUCC